UCCUCCCUCUUUCUUCGUGCUUAACACAUGCAAGUCGAACGGAAAGGCCCUGCUUUUGUGGGGUGCUCGAGUGGCGAACGGGUGAGUAACACGUGAGUAACCUGCCCUUGACUUUGGGAUAACUUCAGGAAACUGGGGCUAAUACCGGAUAGGAGCUCCUGCUGCAUGGUGGGGGUUGGAAAGUUUCGGCGGUUGGGGAUGGACUCGCGGCUUAUCAGCUUGUUGGUGGGGUAGUGGCUUACCAAGGCUUUGACGGGUAGCCGGCCUGAGAGGGUGACCGGCCACAUUGGGACUGAGAUACGGCCCAGACUCCUCCGGGAGGCAGCAGUGGGGAAUAUUGCACAAUGGGCGGAAGCCUGAUGCAGCAACGCCGCGUGCGGGAUGACGGCCUUCGGGUUGUAAACCGUUUUCGCCUGUGACGAAGCGUGAGUGACGGUAAUGGGUAAAGAAGCACCGGCUAACUACGUG
RNAcentral lists this ribosomal RNA (468 nucleotides) under uncultured bacterium. RNAcentral's name for it is "partial 16S ribosomal RNA". It matches the Rfam family "Bacterial small subunit ribosomal RNA", at positions 36 to 507 of the family's 1533-position model. The record is from RNAcentral.